UCUAAGUACCCCGAGGAAAAGAAAUCAACCGAGAUUCCCCCAGUAGCGGCGAGCGAACGGGGAGGAGCCCAGAGCCUGAAUCAGCAUGUGUGUUAGUGGAAGCGUCUGGAAAGGCGCGCGAUACAGGAUGUACGCGGUUUUCCAAAGUGGUGGUAAACAACACCGAGUAAGCGAAGGUCAGACCGUUCGCCUGGAAAAGCUGGACAUCGCAACUGGCGAAACUAUCGAGUUCGCUGAAGUUCUGAUGAUCGCAA
This 254-nucleotide ribosomal RNA is filed under the name Salmonella enterica subsp. enterica serovar Cerro. RNAcentral describes it as "partial 23S ribosomal RNA". It matches the Rfam family "Bacterial large subunit ribosomal RNA", at positions 201 to 458 of the family's 2925-position model. Lineage: Bacteria; Pseudomonadati; Pseudomonadota; Gammaproteobacteria; Enterobacterales; Enterobacteriaceae. The record is from RNAcentral.